Molecule: long non-coding RNA, 2709 nt
Organism: Physeter macrocephalus (sperm whale)
Lineage: Eukaryota; Metazoa; Chordata; Mammalia; Artiodactyla; Physeteridae
Exons: 3
Source: RefSeq, a predicted model, not a curated record
UUAAGGACAAUUCUUUCAAUAAGGUCUUUACCCCUUACUUGAAACAGGUGUUCAGGAAAAAAAUGCACAAAAUCCUGACUGACCGGAAUAAUUCGUGAAGAAGGGGCUGGAUCCGUGGGUCAGAGAACACAGGACCAGUUUGCCAUCCCAAGGCCGAAGUCUGGUGUCUCGGAUUUGGCCCUGCGUUGCCCACUCCUGCUGGAUCUUGUCCAUUCGAGGGACAAAACGUCCUGACACCUUCCUGAAGAAUGGGAAGAGAGGAGAUUCUGAAAGCACAGAUUGCAAUACUGUGCCAGAGGCCGAGGAAACCUAUGCCUGGAGGGAUUGCCCCACACCCACAGGAGCACCAAGGAUGCUGGAGCCGGAGACACGCAGGCCCAAGAAGGGUAGAAAUACCAGCAAUGACCAAGGGCCACCCAUAGCAGUUCCCCGGCUGUCCGUCCAGGACCCACCGAAUGGAGGACACGCAGCGGCUCUCCCCUUACAACCACAAAAGCUGAAACAAAGGCCAGAGAAGCUGACGAAGCAGCACGAGUCCAGAAGCUUUCAGAAUCACCCUGAGAAAAUUGUCUGUUGAAUGACAACCAGUUUUACCAAUGUGUGAGAAGAGACCUUACCUCCCCCACUGGGUUCCAUCCUAUCUGGAUGCCCUUCCUUGUGGACUUCGGAGAUCUCAUAUCUACCUUUAAGCAUGCAGUUCCUGCUUCAGCUGUGGUAGUUCUGGUUAACCUUCUCUGUGAGAAAAUGUUCAUUUUUUUUUUCUCCCUCCACAUGCUGGAUUGAACUGUCUUACCUGAAACUGGGUCAUUUUGGGUCAUUUUAGGCUAGAAGCACCUCUGGACAUUCUCGUUUCUCAGAAGUUGCCAAGUUCAUGUCACACUUGUUUCAUUUGUGAACAGGGGUCCACUUCUGACAGAUGUUACCUGGCCUGAGCAGUGUGUCUCCUGUUGGCUCCUUGGUACUUUUCUCCCCUUCUCCACCCUGUCCCAGGUGAGACUGACUCAGUGGCAACCCUACCUUUGCUGGUGAGGACCGUAUAUGUGGCAGACGGCCUUUGGCUGGAGGUGUGAGAGAAAGUGUGGUCUGGUGGAACCAACAUCUUUGGCAAUUUGGAGGCCACUGGAGCAGGACUUUAUUCCUGGGAGAAGGUAGUUUCAGAGAGGCCAGCCCUUAUCUCCGUGUGCCCCCUGGUUCUACCCUCUUAACUCUUAGUCUUGCCUUUUAGUGCCUUUCUUAAUCCAGGGUAGUUUCUCUUUUCUUUCUUCAACUAGAAGCAACUUUUGUUGUUAUUUUCAUUAUUGCAAAGCAGCACAUGCUUAUGACAAAGACGUCAGAAAGGGAGACAAACCAAAGAAGGAAAAACCAGCCCCAAAUCCUACUUGCCUCAAAGGCAACCAUUGAGACUCUGUUGAAGAACCUUCCAGAUCCCUUUCUAGGCAUAUAGUAUCGUAUAUAUAUAUAUUAAUAUAUAUCAUAUAUCACUAUGACUUCUCAUAUUGUGAUGUCAUGAUACCACAUAUAUUCUUUGAUAACAUAUGUUGUCAUUUAAUGUCUUAUAAUGAACAGCUUUUCUAUAUCAACAAACUUUUUAAAAAAUGGUUAAGUAAUGUCUUUAAUUACAGAAGAGAAAACUGAGGACAAAAUGGAAAGUAAUUUACAAAAAAAGGAGGAUGCUAAGUCAUUUGGUAUAAGGGAAUAAAGCCAAGCAGAUGCAGCUCAAAGCAUGCACACCCCCAUUUUUCUGGGCCAUGAGUUAUAUGAGUCUAUAGCAAUUGUAAUGUAAGAGUACUCAAUUAUAGAGCUAUCCCAUCAUUUAUUUACUUAAUCUCAUAUGGUUCAAUGUUUAGGUUGUUUCCAACUUUUCUCUACUUUAAGCAGCAUUAAUGAGCAUGGCUCUGGUUUAAUCUACCUACAGUUAUUUCCUUGAAGUAAAUGCCCAGAAGGAGAUCAAAGGACAGUUAGUGAAAGCUACAAAGACCUCCAAGUAUGCAACCAGCAUUAACUGCUUGGUACCAAAAUGUGUUAAAGGCUGGGCCACUGGAAGGCUGCACACACCGUUUCUAAGGUGACAUCACACAUCCAUGCUUGGGUAACUCUGGCCUCAUUUCCCUUGCCCAGAACAGAAGGCACCCACAAUGACGUCUAAAGUAAGCAGAUGGUGAAAGAGGAAGUGACGUUGUCUCUUUGGGUUGGCUACUUGGGUAUAUCUCAUGAUUCCUCAUUGGAUGCUGAGAGGUAGUCAUUCAUUCAUUCAUUCAUUACCCACUUACGGAGCAGCCACUGUUGCAAGGUGUCAAGCUGGAGUCUGAGACGACAAAGAUGAAUUAAACAGGGACUCCAUCCUCAGGAAGAUCACAGCCUGGAAAAGGUCAAUGAUGAAUAACACACAUUUACUCCACAGUAUAGUAAGGGGAGAAAAAUGUAAAUUCAGUUAUACAUCUCAGGGCAGAAAAAUUGGAACAAUCGGAAAGUCUCAGAGGAAAAACAUGAAAAUCACACAUAAUCCACUGGCCUAUUCGUGACAGCUAUCUUUUUCAAGUGUGUCCUUUGAGGCUUGCUGGCUUGUGGUCAUCCUCACUGGGUGCAGCCUCCUUGAAGGCAUUGUCUGUGUCCUUCAUCUGCACCUCCAGAGACUCUGGCACCAUCUUAGACAACUUAUUCAGAAAUCUGUUCAAUGUGAAAUCCAAAUGGGAAGAAACAAAAUUAAAG